Molecule: ribosomal RNA, 446 nt
Filed under: uncultured bacterium
Lineage: Bacteria
Description: partial 16S ribosomal RNA
Rfam family: Bacterial small subunit ribosomal RNA
Source: RNAcentral
CCUACGGGAGGCUGCAGUCGAGAAUCAUUCACAAUGGGGGAAACCCUGAUGGUGCGACGCCGCGUGGGGGAAUGAAGGUCUUCGGAUUGUAAACCCCUGUCAUGUGGGAGCAAAUUAAAAAGAUAGUACCACAAGAGGAAGAGACGGCUAACUCUGUGCCAGCAGCCGCGGUAAUACAGAGGUCUCAAGCGUUGUUCGGAAUCACUGGGCGUAAAGCGUGCGUAGGCUGUUUCGUAAGUCGUGUGUGAAAGGCGCGGGCUCAACCCGCGGACGGCACAUGAUACUGCGAGACUAGAGUAGUGGAGGGGGAACCGGAAGUCUCGGUGUAGCAGUGAAAUGCGUAGAUAUCGAGAGGAACACUCGUGGCGAAGGCGGGUUCCUGGACAUUAACUGACGCUGAGGCACGAAGGCCAGGGGAGCGAAAGGGAUUAGAUACCCUGGUAGUC